Molecule: ribosomal RNA, 467 nt
Filed under: uncultured bacterium
Lineage: Bacteria
Description: partial 16S ribosomal RNA
Rfam family: Bacterial small subunit ribosomal RNA
Source: RNAcentral
GACGAACGCUGGCGGCGUGCUUAACACAUGCAAGUCGAACGGAAAGGCCCUGCUUUUGUGGGGUGCUCGAGUGGCGAACGGGUGAGUAACACGUGAGUAACCUGCCCUUGACUUUGGGAUAACUUCAGGAAACUGGGGCUAUACCGGAUAGGAGCUCCUGCUGCAUGGUGGGGGUUGGAAAGUUUCGGCGGUUGGGGAUGGACUCGCGGCUUAUCAGCUUGUUGGUGGGGUAGUGGCUUACCAAGGCUUUGACGGGUAGCCGGCCUGAGAGGGUGACCGGCCACAUUGGGACUGAGAUACGGCCCAGACUCCUACGGGAGGCAGCAGUGGGGAAUAUUGCACAAUGGGCGGAAGCCUGAUGCAGCAACGCCGCGUGCGGGAUGACGGCCUUCGGGUUGUAAACCGCUUUCGCCUGUGACGAAGCGUGAGUGACGGUAAUGGGUAAAGAAGCACCGGCUAACUACGCG